UGUCCCUGUGUGGAGACAUUGUACAGGUUGAUAAACGGGACUUGGCCAUAUUGAAUGGGUAGAAGAAAUUCAGCUAAAAACCGAACUUUGGAAAGCACGUGGUUGGAACAAGAUGGCGAUGGCGAGCUGCCCACGGACCUUCUGAAAGAUACGCAGGAGAAAUACUUCUCUUGCUGAACGCUGCAUGGUUUGCAUCUGAACUGGUAGGAUUUACCCAACUUUCUGCAAAGCUACUGCAACGGACUCAGGAACAUUGAACUGCUAAUUAAAAGAGCAACGAGUAGAAAAAAAAAGGACUUUUAUUCUGCAAUAUCCAGAAUUGUUCAGCCUUUUGCUGAAUCAAUUUGAGUUGUAAUUUUGUAUUUUAUUUUCAGACCAUAAACUAAUAUUGUAAAAGGGUAUUUUACAAUGUAAAUGUUUUUGGUUGGGAACAACAGAACAAAGUUCUCUUUAAACUGUAAAAUAACUUGAAAUAACUUGAACUAAAAUAAUUGAAACUAAAUGUGAACUGAACUAAAGAGUUAACUCGAAACCGUGAUAGAACUGAUUUGAAUUAAACUAAAAGGUUGCAAGGUCUGUGGUGCUUGUUGCCAGCUGACGGGUACCGGCGGGCCAAGCGUGCUGCAGCCCGGGUGGUUCCGGAGGCAAAAACUCAGAGCUGGGAGGAGUUCGGGGAGGCCAUGGAGAAGGACUAUCGGAUGCCUCAAAGAGAUUCUGACAAACCGCCCGGCGCCUCGGAAGAGGAAGUAGUUCUUCACCAACACUGUUUACAGUGCGGGGGGAGAGCUGCUGACCUCGACUGGGGACUUUGUCCGAUGGUGGAAGGAAAACUCUGAGGAUCUCCUCAAUCGCACCGUCACGUCUUCCGAGGAGGAAUCGAGACUGGAGACUCAGAGGUGGACUCAUCCAUAACCCUGAAGUCACUGAGGUGGUUAAAGUUCCUCUGUGGCUCUGGGUUGGAUGAGAUCCUUCCUGAGUACCUUAAGUCUCUGGAUGUUGUGGGUCUUGGCUGACAUGUCUCUUCAACAUCGCGUGGCGGUCGGGGACAGUGCCUCUGGACUGGCAAACCGGGGUGGUGGUCCCUCUGUAUAAGAAGGGGGACCGGAGGGUGUGUUCCAACUAUAGGGGGAUCACACUUCUCAGCCUUCCCGGUCUCUGUCAGGGACUGGAGAGGAGAAUCCGGCCGAUAGUUGAACCUCGGGUCCAGGAGGAGCAGUGUGGUUUUCGUCCUGGCCGUGGAACACUGGACCAGCUCUACACUCUCCAUCGGGCGCUCCAGGUUCAUGGGAGUUUGGACAGUCCACACGGAGACAGAGGAGGACGUCCUCUCCUGUCCACAGCUGUUCUUACCUUUCACACUCAGCUGGACCCAGGUCUUUCCUCCAGAGAACAAAAACCUGAGAACAAAACCUGAUAAGCGAAAUCUGGUAUAACUAAAAUAUAUCCGGAAAAAGGAAAUAAGGGUUUUGGAACUUAACUACUUAAACAAAGAAGGUUAAGAUAAUUGGAGUUUAUGUUAACGUUGUCUAUGUCCAUGUCAUGCUAUUUUCAUAUUUUGUGUCCAAAUCUCAAUAAUAAGCCGGCAAAUCAUUUAAACUUAUUCUCUUGUCUGUGGUCUUUUCAUUGUCAAGUCAACUUUUGCUCCAGUAGACGAACCUAACCAAUUGAUACUGGUCCAUUACAUAGUAGUUCCUACCUCUACUUGUUAUUACCCUGUAAUUACCACUCGUUGGGCGUUACACUUACUCACUCGGAGACAGUCCCACUGAAUUCUUCAAAUCUAGAAGCUUUGUAAAUGUACAUUUUGUUUGUAAUGUGAAACUUUUAGAAUGUGACAUUUAUUGUAUAAUUUGAAUAUGUCUGUACAUUACGAGCUUCAGCCGUUCCAUGAAUAUUAUUUAUCUUAAAGUCAGAUUAUUGAUUUUCAAAUAUUUGUUUGAACAUUUGAAAAUGCUUGACCAAAUAGUCAUGUCAGCAUAAAUUUAAUUUCAUACAAUUUAUGUUUUGUCAUUCUUAUUGAGUCUGUUGUAGUUCAGUAAUUUGAUUCACUAAUGGUUUUGUUUCUGGCAUUAAUUUUGUUGUUUUUCUUUAGGAUGGUGAUGAAUCCUUUGGCCAAAUGGACAUUGGGAUCUUGUUAGUAAAUCUGAAGGUGUCUCUCCUCCAACACCAGAUCUUCAGCUGCCUGAAAAUCAUCAUUGAGGGUGAAAUUGUUAUGGACAAGCUGACGACCCUUAUAAGCCCUUGUUUGAAUUGUGAAAUGUAAAACACAAAAGCAAAUGCUGUUACAGGGAACAAACAGAAGACUGCACUUUAUUCAGGUUUAAGCAUGUUACUGUUGCACUAUUUUUGCAAUAAAUUUAUGAGAAAAAAAAUUGU
This is a long non-coding RNA of Boleophthalmus pectinirostris (great blue-spotted mudskipper), 2376 nucleotides long. RefSeq lists it as uncharacterized. The record is from RefSeq and is a predicted model, not a curated record. Lineage: Eukaryota; Metazoa; Chordata; Actinopteri; Gobiiformes; Gobiidae. The transcript is spliced from 2 exons.